RNAcentral lists this ribosomal RNA (1017 nucleotides) under Dissophora globulifera. Its description in RNAcentral is "LSU rRNA". It matches the Rfam family "Eukaryotic large subunit ribosomal RNA", at positions 38 to 921 of the family's 3401-position model. The record is from RNAcentral. Lineage: Eukaryota; Fungi; Mortierellomycota; Mortierellomycetes; Mortierellales; Mortierellaceae.
GCAUAUCAUAGCGAGAAAGAACUACAAGGAUUCCCCUAGUAACGGCGAGUGAAGCGGGAUGAGCUCAAAUUUAAAAUCUGGCUGGUUUACCAGUCCGAGUUGUAGUUUAAAGAAGCGUUUUCGGUGGCAGGCCGGGUAUAAAUCCUUUGGAACAGGGUAUCAUAGAGGGUGAGAAUCCCGUCUUUGACUCGGCUGAUGUUACUAUGUGAUACGUUUUCAAAGAGUCGAGUUGUUUGGGAAUGCAGCUCAAAAUGGGUGGUAAAUUUCAUCUAAGGCUAAAUAUUGGCGAGAGACCGAUAGCGAACAAGUACCGUGAGGGAAAGAUGAAAAGAACUUUGAAAAGAGAGUUAAACAGUGCGUGAAAUUGUUGAAAGGGAAACGUUUGACACCAGCUAUGUAGGCGGAAAAUCAGUCAAGCGCAGUGAGGGGCUGGUGUUUGUCCGGACCGCAAGGCCGGCGGAUAUCUCAUCUUUGCUGUGGGUGAUGCACUUUUUCGUUCGCAGGUCAACAUCAGUUUCGCUUGCUGGACAAAACCCCGAGAGAAGGUAGCAGCUUUGGCUGUGUUAUAGCUCUGGGGCGAUACAGUGGGUGGGACUGAGGAUUCGCAGUGUGUGCUCUCGGGCAAGGCUGACUGGGUGCUCUGGGGUCGUUUGGCGUACAAUGCUUGCAUUUUGCGUCUUGUCUUCUUCAGACUCGCUUAGUUCGGCUCUUCCACGCUUAGGAUGUUGACUUAAUGGUUUUAAACGACCCGUCUUGAAACACGGACCAAGGAGUCUAACAUGCAUGCAAGUGUUUGGGUGGCAAACCCAUGCGCGUAAUGAAAGUGAACGUAGGUGCGAUCCGCAAGGUGCAGCAUCGACCGAUCUUGAUAUUUUUGGAUAGAUUUGAGUAAGAGCAUGUAUGCUGGGACCCGGAAAGAUGGUGAACUAUGCCUGAAUAGGGUGAAGCCAGAGGAAACAAUGGUGGAGGCUCGUAGCGAUUCUGACGUGCAAAUCGAUCGUCAAAUUUGGGUAUAGG